AAGUCGUAACAAGGUUUCCGUAGGUGAACCUGCGGAAGGAUCAUUACUAUCAAAAAAAGAAAGGCCACGGGGGCAAGCUUUCCAAUAGGACAGUCAGUAGAUGUACGGUUCUACUGGCUGGCAGCGGAACGAAAGGCUCGUGCUAUUAUAGCCCUGUCUCGCUCAAGUACGCUGAACGAGCUGCCUGUCUGACCCUACCCUUGCUUUUUGCGCACCCAUUGUUUCCUCGGCAGGCUUGCCUGCCAGUAGGACCCCAUUUCAACCUUUUGUAAUUGCAAUCAGCGUCAGAAAUAACUUAAUUGUUACAACUUUCAACAACGGAUCUCUUGGUUCUG
This 335-nucleotide unclassified non-coding RNA is filed under the name air metagenome. RNAcentral's name for it is "partial contains small subunit ribosomal RNA, internal transcribed spacer 1, and 5.8S ribosomal RNA". The stretch from base 1 to 46 matches the Rfam family "Eukaryotic small subunit ribosomal RNA", at positions 1786 to 1831 of the family's 1831-position model. The record is from RNAcentral.